UACGGAGGGGGCUAGCGUUGUUCGGAAUUACUGGGCGUAAAGCGCACGUAGGCGGCUUUGUAAGUUAGAGGUGAAAGCCCGGGGCUCAACUCCGGAACUGCCUUUAAGACUGCAUCGCUAGAAUUGUGGAGAGGUGAGUGGAAUUCCGAGUGUAGAGGUGAAAUUCGUAGAUAUUCAGAAGAACACCAGUGGCGAAGGCGACUCACUGGACACAUAUUGACGCUGAGGUGCGAAAGCGUGGGGAGCAAACAGG
Molecule: ribosomal RNA, 253 nt
Filed under: uncultured bacterium
Lineage: Bacteria
Description: partial 16S ribosomal RNA
Rfam family: Bacterial small subunit ribosomal RNA
Source: RNAcentral